GCUCAUUCCGAACAUAUACUAAAAUUAGAACAAUACAGAGAAGACCAGCAUGACCUCUGCGCAAGGAUGACAUGCAAGGAAAUACCAGAUUAAA
Molecule: non-coding RNA, 94 nt
Organism: Oesophagostomum dentatum (nodular worm)
Lineage: Eukaryota; Metazoa; Nematoda; Chromadorea; Rhabditida; Strongylidae
Source: Rfam